AGUGAACGCUGGCGGUAGGCCUAACACAUGCAAGUCGAACGGCAGCACAGUAAGAGCUUGCUCUUACGGGUGGCGAGUGGCGGACGGGUGAGGAAUACAUCGGAAUCUACUUUUUCGUGGGGGAUAACGUAGGGAAACUUACGCUAAUACCGCAUACGACCUACGGGUGAAAGCAGGGGAUCUUCGGACCUUGCGCGAUUGAAUGAGCCGAUGUCGGAUUAGCUAGUUGGCGGGGUAAAGGCCCACCAAGGCGACGAUCCGUAGCUGGUCUGAGAGGAUGAUCGGCCACACUGGAACUGAGACACGGUCCAGACUCCUACGGGAGGCAGCAGUGGGGAAUAUUGGACAAUAGGCGCAAGCCUGAUCCAGCCAUACCGCGUGGGUGAAGAAGGCCUUCGGGUUGUAAAGCCCUUUUGUUGGGAAAGAAAAGCAGCAGGUUAAUACCCCGCUGUUCUGACGGUACCCAAAGAAUAAGCCCCGGCUAACUUCGUG
RNAcentral lists this ribosomal RNA (492 nucleotides) under uncultured bacterium. Its description in RNAcentral is "partial 16S ribosomal RNA". It matches the Rfam family "Bacterial small subunit ribosomal RNA", at positions 29 to 507 of the family's 1533-position model. The record is from RNAcentral.